Molecule: ribosomal RNA, 371 nt
Filed under: uncultured bacterium
Lineage: Bacteria
Description: bacterial SSU rRNA
Rfam family: Bacterial small subunit ribosomal RNA
Source: RNAcentral
GUAGGGGGCAAGCGUUGUCCGGAUUUAUUGGGCGUAAAGAGCGUGUAGGCGGCUAAAUAGGUCCGUUGUGAAAACUCGAGGCUCAACCUCGAGAUGCCGAUGGAAACCAUUUGGCUAGAGUCCGGAAGAGGAGAGUGGAAUUCCCGGUGUAGCGGUGAAAUGCGCAGAUAUCGGGAAGAACACCCGUGGCUAAGGCGGCUCUCUAGUACGGUACUGACGCUGAGACGCGAAAGCGUGGGGAGCGAACAGGAUUAGAUACCCUGGUAGUCCACGCCGUAAACGAUGGGUGCUAGGUGUGGGAGGUGUCGACUCCUUCCGUGCCGAAGCUAACGCAUUAAGCACCCCGCCUGGGGAGUACGGCCGCAAGGCUA